CCUACGGGAGGCAGCAGUGGGGAAUAUUGGGCAAUGGGCGCAAGCCUGACCCAGCAACGCCGCGUGAAGGAAGAAGGCUUUCGGGUUGUAAACUUCUUUUCUCAGGGACGAAGAAAGUGACGGUACCUGAGGAAUAAGCCACGGCUAACUACGUGCAAGCAGCAGCGGUAAGACGUAGGUGGCAAGCGUUAUCCGGAUUUAUUGGGUGUAAAGGGCGAGUAGGCGGGAGCACAAGUCAGAUGUGAAAACUCAGGGCUCAACCCUGAGCCGGCAUUUGAAACUGUGUUUCUUGAGUGCUGGAGAGGCAAUCGGAAUUCCGGGUGUAGCGGUGAAAUGCGUAGAUAUACGGAGGAACACCGGUGGCGAAGGCGGAUUGCUGGACAGUAACUGACGCUGAGGCGCGAAAGCGUGGGGAGCAAACAGGAUUAGAUACCCCUGUAGUC
This 443-nucleotide ribosomal RNA is filed under the name uncultured bacterium. RNAcentral's name for it is "partial 16S ribosomal RNA". It matches the Rfam family "Bacterial small subunit ribosomal RNA", at positions 338 to 795 of the family's 1533-position model. The record is from RNAcentral.